UCCUAAUGCUUGUUGAACAAUAAAUGAAAUGGAAUUUUCUCAUGUCCAACACAAACUACGUAACAAAACAGUUGCAAGGCAUUUUCCAUUUGAAAGAAACGCAAGAUACUAAAACACCAAAUAUAGAGAAACAUACUAUAUCCUAGGAUUUAGUUUGGUUGAAUAGCCUCAUUCAUAUUUAUAUCAAUCACGUCACCAUUCACGACCUCCUCAAACAAGGAACACAUUAUAUGAAUAAUAUCUAUCUGUGAAGAUGAACUAGGGAUGUACAAAUUCAAACACGGGUCUAUGUGUCAUUGGGAUUCUUCGUAUAAUACUCAAUAUAGAAUAAUAAAAUUUGUUAGCGCCCGUUAGGGCACAAAGUACCAUUACAGGGACAUGUACAAAGAUCAAGUAGAAAAAGAAAAAACACUAUAUACUUCUGUAGAAUGGCGAUACAACAGAAAUCAUUCAGGCAAUGACGUGAUUCAUCCGACUUCCCUCAUGCUCCUUCAACUUGUACCAAAGAAAUCAGCCACAUGUAUCUCGUUUUUUGCCCAAAUAAACACUCGAUGCCUUCACAUUGAAUUGCCUUGCACUAGCGUCCCUGGCAUGUUUUAUAGUCUACUCGUUUUUCAUGAUCUUCUAAGAUGAUCCCUGGUGAAAAAAGGAUGCUCGAGGGCCUCGCGAGCUGACAAUC
This 679-nucleotide long non-coding RNA is filed under the name Olea europaea (common olive). RNAcentral's name for it is "long non-coding RNA (OEUR_LNC010767)". The record is from RNAcentral. Lineage: Eukaryota; Viridiplantae; Streptophyta; Magnoliopsida; Lamiales; Oleaceae.